GAUGAACGCUGGCGGCGUGCCUAAUACAUGCAAGUCGAGCGAACAGACGAGGAGCUUGCUCCUCUGACGUUAGCGGCGGACGGGUGAGUAACACGUGGAUACCCUACCUAUAAGACUGGUAUAACUUCGGGAAACCGGAGCUAAUACCGGAUAAUAUAUUGAACCGCAUGGUUCAAUAGUGAAAGACGGUUUUGCUGUCACUUAUAGAUGGAUCCGCGCCGCAUUAGCUAGUUGGUAAGGUAACGGCUUACCAAGGCAACGAUGCGUAGCCGACCUGAGAGGGUGAUCGGCCACACUGGAACUGAGACACGGUCCAGACUCCUACGGGAGGCAGCAGUAGGGAAUCUUCCGCAAGGGGCGAAAGCCUGACGGAGCAACGCCGCGUGAGUGAUGAAGGUCUUCGGAUCGUAAAACUCUGUUAUUAGGGAAGAACAAAUGUGUAAGUAACUAUGCACGUCUUGACGGUACCUAAUCAGAAAGCCACGGCUAACUACGUG
RNAcentral lists this ribosomal RNA (497 nucleotides) under uncultured bacterium. Its description in RNAcentral is "partial 16S ribosomal RNA". It matches the Rfam family "Bacterial small subunit ribosomal RNA", at positions 28 to 507 of the family's 1533-position model. The record is from RNAcentral.